This 495-nucleotide ribosomal RNA is filed under the name uncultured bacterium. RNAcentral's name for it is "partial 16S ribosomal RNA". It matches the Rfam family "Bacterial small subunit ribosomal RNA", at positions 28 to 507 of the family's 1533-position model. The record is from RNAcentral.
GACGAACGCUGGCGGCGUGCCUAAUACAUGCAAGUAGAACGCUGAAGGAGGAGCUUGCUUCUCUGGAUGAGUUGCGAACGGGUGAGUAACGCGUAGGUAACCUGCCUGGUAGCGGGGGAUAACUAUUGGAAACGAUAGCUAAUACCGCAUAAGAGUAGAUGUUGCAUGACAUUUGCUUAAAAGUUGCAAUUGCAUCACUACCAGAUGGACCUGCGUUGUAUUAGCUAGUUGGUGGGGUAACGGCUCACCAAGGCGACGAUACAUAGCCGACCUGAGAGGGUGAUCGGCCACACUGGGACUGAGACACGGCACAGACUCCUACGGGAGGCAGCAGUAGGGAAUCUUGGGCAAUGGACGGAAGUCUGACCGAGAAACGCCGCGUGAGUGAAGAAGGUUUUCGGAUCGUAAAGCUCUGUUGUAAGAGAAGAACGAGUGUGAGAGUGGAAAGUUCACACUGUGACGGUAUCUUACCAGAAAGGGACGGCUAACUACGUG